This 253-nucleotide ribosomal RNA is filed under the name uncultured bacterium. Its description in RNAcentral is "partial 16S ribosomal RNA". It matches the Rfam family "Bacterial small subunit ribosomal RNA", at positions 524 to 776 of the family's 1533-position model. The record is from RNAcentral.
UACGAAGGGUGCAAGCGUUACUCGGAAUUACUGGGCGUAAAGCGUGCGUAGGUGGUUUUUUAAGUCCGUUGUGAAAGCCCUGGGCUCAACCUGGGAAUGGCAGUGGAUACUGGAAAGCUAGAGUGCGGUAGAGGGUAGUGGAAUUCCCGGUGUAGCAGUGAAAUGCGUAGAGAUCGGGAGGAACACCAGUGGCGAAGGCGGCUACCUGGACCAGCACUGACACUGAGGCACGAAGGCGUGGGGAGCGAACGGG